GCCCAGACUCCUACGGGAGGCAGCAGUGAGGAAUAUUGGUCAAUGGGCGGGAGCCUGAACCAGCCAUGCCGCGUGAAGGCGAGUGCCCUACGGGCGUUAAACUUCUUUUGUGCGGGAGCAAUAAGGGCCACGUGUGGCCCGAUGAGAGUACCGCACGAAUAAGCAUCGGCUAACUCCGUGCCAGCAGCCGCGGUAAUACGGAGGAUGCGAGCGUUAUCCGGAUUUAUUGGGUUUAAAGGGUGCGUAGGCGGAACAUUAAGUCAGCGGUAAAAUCGAGGGGCUCAACCCCUUUAAGCCGUUGAAACUGGUGAUCUUGAGUGGGCGAGAAGUAUGCGGAAUGCGUGGUGUAGCGGUGAAAUGCAUAGAUAUCACGCAGAACUCCGAUUGCGAAGGCAGCAUACCGGCGCCCGACUGACGCUGAGGCACGAAAGCGUGGGGAUCGAACAGGAUUAGAUACCCGCGUA
RNAcentral lists this ribosomal RNA (464 nucleotides) under uncultured bacterium. Its description in RNAcentral is "bacterial SSU rRNA". It matches the Rfam family "Bacterial small subunit ribosomal RNA", at positions 329 to 792 of the family's 1533-position model. The record is from RNAcentral.